RNAcentral lists this ribosomal RNA (422 nucleotides) under uncultured bacterium. RNAcentral describes it as "bacterial SSU rRNA". It matches the Rfam family "Bacterial small subunit ribosomal RNA", at positions 1 to 420 of the family's 1533-position model. The record is from RNAcentral.
CCCUUAGAGUUUGAUCCUGGCUCAGGACGAACGCUGGCGGCGCGCCUAACACAUGCAAGUCGAACGAGAGAUGAGGAGCUUGCUCUUCAAAUCGAGUGGCGAACGGGUGAGUAACGCGUGAGGAACCUGCCUCAAAGAGGGGGACAACAGUUGGAAACGACUGCUAAUACCGCAUAAGCCCACGGCUCGGCAUCGAGCAGAGGGAAAAGGAGCAAUCCGCUUUGAGAUGGCCUCGCGUCCGAUUAGCUGGUUGGUGAGGUAAUGGCCCACCAAGGCGACGAUCGGUAGCCGGACUGAGAGGUUGAACGGCCACAUUGGGACUGAGACACGGCCCAGACUCCUACGGGAGGCAGCAGUGGGGAAUAUUGCACAAUGGGGGAAACCCUGAUGCAGCGACGCCGCGUGGAGGAAGAAGGUCUUCG